ACACUAACCCUCACUCAAAACUCUCUUUCUCUAUCACUAGAAGCCGCCUCCCCCUCUCUUGCCCUUUCACUCUCGAUUUCCAUCCCUCUCUCUUGCGCGCGCGCUCUUUUUUUCUCUCUCAGCCUCUCCAUCUCUUCACCUUCUUCGUCUCACUUGCAUGAAAGACGAGGCUCACAAAUGGGCAGAGGUCGAAUAGGCGGUCACGAACGGGUAGAGAUCGAAGGUGGGCUCACGAACGAGGAGAUGGCGGUGGACGAACAGCAGACGAAUCCAACACAUGGGUAGGUUUCAUGGUGGCUGAGCUUAGGAGGCUUGACGGUGGCUUGGGUGGUGGCUCAUUAGUUCAGCUCAGAAGCAAAACCUCAAGAAUGGAUAUCUUGGAGUGGAGCGCUAAGUGGCAGAUUGCGCCUUUUGGUGGCGAAGUGGAGACUUUGAGGGUGUUUGACACCUUAACUAAAAAACUAUUUUUUUGUUUUUAAAAGCUAAAAUCUGUUUUUUGAAAACAAGUUGAGGUGUCUGGAGUUGUUUUCAGAAAAUAAUUUUUAAAAAUAAAGUUACAAAAAAAAAAAAAAUUUGAGAACAAUAAAAAGUUGUUUUCUGUUGUUCUCAAAAUUUUUUUGUCUAUCUUUUUUUUUCUCAUAUAAUUUAUUUAUUUAUUAUUAUCUAACAUCAUUUAUUGUCACAUAAUUUUUUCUCUUAUCAGUUUCUCUCUUCAGUUUCUCUUACAUUACUUUCUCUCUCAUUAAUUAAUAUAUCUUCAUUUUCUCUCUCAUCAUUUUUUCUCUCUCGUCAUUUCCACUCUCAUCAUUUUCUCUCUACUCACUUCUUCCUCUUCACUUUCUUUCUCAUCACAUUCUCUCUUAUUUUUUUUUGGAUCAGUUUCUCUCUUUUCAAUUUUUAUUUCUUCAAAUUUUCUUUCCUUACUUUCUCACAUAUUAUUUUUCAUCAUUUUUUUUUCAAAUUAUUUUAUCUCAUUAUUUAUUAUAAACAUUUAAAAUAUUUUUCUUUAUUUGUUAACAUUAUAUUUAAGUUUUAAAAAAAAUAAAACAAUAAAAUCAUUUGUAGAAAAUAUUAAUUAAACACUUCUUGUUUUUUGAAAAUUACAAAAACAGUUUUCUGUUCUCAUUUCUGAUAACACAACUUAAAAAACAGAAAACAAUGCCAAACAAACCUUUUGUUUGUUGAUUGGAGCUAUUGGUGACAGACUGCAGUGGUUGGUUGUGAAUAUAGAGACCUUGCAAACUCUUGUUAAUCUUCUUCAUAAGGAACUAAAGAGCUACAACUUCUAGUGUUUCACGAACUAAAGCAAAAGAGCUGCUGCACUCAAGUUACUUCAAAAAAUACAAGAUAGAGUUGAACAACUCAUAUAAAAAUACUCGAGUAUACUUAUAAAUUGUUCAUGCUGCACAAAACUGAUUACUUAUAAGCUGAGAUUAUAUUUGUACCAAUCUGAUGAAAUAUAUUUUGAUUAAGUUUGUAAUU
Humulus lupulus (European hop) is the source of this 1482-nucleotide long non-coding RNA. RefSeq lists it as uncharacterized. The record is from RefSeq and is a predicted model, not a curated record. Lineage: Eukaryota; Viridiplantae; Streptophyta; Magnoliopsida; Rosales; Cannabaceae. The transcript is spliced from 4 exons.